AGUCGAGGGGUAUAGUAGCAAUACUAGAGACCGGCGCACGGGUGCGUAACGCGUAUGCAAUCUACCUUUUGCAGGGGAAUAGCCCAGAGAAAUUUGGAUUAAUGCCCCAUAGUAUAGUGACUCGGCAUCGAGAUACUAUUAAAGUUACAACGGCAAAAGAUGAGCAUGCGUCCCAUUAGCUAGUUGGUAAGGUAACGGCUUACCAAGGCGACGAUGGGUAGGGGUCCUGAGAGGGAGAUCCCCCACACUGGUACUGAGACACGGACCAGACUCCUACGGGAGGCAGCAGUGAGGAAUAUUGGACAAUGGGCGCAAGCCUGAUCCAGCCAUGCCGCGUGCAGGAUGAAGCAUCUAUGGUGUGUAAACUGCUUUUGUACGAGAAGAAACACUGCUUCGUGAAGCAGCUUGACGGUAUCGUAAGAAUAAGGAUCGGCUAACUCCGUGCCAGCAGCCGCGGUAAUACGGAGGAUCCAAGCGUUAUCCGGAAUCAUUGGGUUUAAAGGGUCCGUAGGCGGGCCAGUAAGUCAGUGGUGAAAUCUCCCGGCUCAACCGGGAAAUGGCCAUUGAUACUGCUGGUCUUGAAUUAUUAGGAAGUAACUAGAAUAUGUAGUGUAGCGGUGAAAUGCUUAGAGAUUACAUGGAAUACCAAUUGCGAAGGCAGGUUACUACUAAUGGAUUGACGCUGAUGGACGAAAGCGUGGGUAGCGAACAGGAUUAGAUACCCUGGUAGUCCACGCCGUAAACGAUGGAUACUAGCUGUUGGGGGCAACUUCAGUGGCUAAGCGAAAGUGAUAAGUAUCCCACCUGGGGAGUACGUUCGCAAGAAUGAAACUCAAAGGAAUUGACGGGGCCCGCACAAGCGG
Molecule: ribosomal RNA, 863 nt
Filed under: uncultured bacterium
Lineage: Bacteria
Description: bacterial SSU rRNA
Rfam family: Bacterial small subunit ribosomal RNA
Source: RNAcentral